CACACCGCCCGUCACGCCAUGGAAGCUGUGAGCGCCCGAAGUCCGUGUCGGAACCCGCAAGGGACCAAGCGGCCGAAGGCGAGCGCGGUGACUGGGGCGAAGUCGUAACAAGGUACCC
This 118-nucleotide ribosomal RNA is filed under the name uncultured bacterium. RNAcentral's name for it is "partial 16S ribosomal RNA". It matches the Rfam family "Bacterial small subunit ribosomal RNA", at positions 1386 to 1501 of the family's 1533-position model. The record is from RNAcentral.